Molecule: small nuclear RNA, 107 nt
Filed under: Castor canadensis (American beaver)
Lineage: Eukaryota; Metazoa; Chordata; Mammalia; Rodentia; Castoridae
Source: RNAcentral
GUGCUCAAUUUGGCAGCACAUAUACUAAAAUUUGAAUAAUACAGAAAAGAGUAAAAUGGCCCCUGUGCAAGGAUGACAUGAAAAUUCAUGAAGCAUUUCAUAUUUUU